This 333-nucleotide ribosomal RNA is filed under the name uncultured Ruminococcus sp. RNAcentral describes it as "partial 16S ribosomal RNA". The record is from RNAcentral. Lineage: Bacteria; Bacillati; Bacillota; Clostridia; Eubacteriales; Oscillospiraceae.
GGAGUCUGGGCCGUGUCUCAGUCCCAAUGUGGCCGUUCAACCUCUCAGUCCGGCUACUGAUCGUCGCCUUGGUGGGCCGUUACCUCACCAACUAGCUAAUCAGACGCGAGCUCAUCUUUAAGCGAUAAAUCUUUGAUACAUCUAUCAUGCGGUAAAUGUAUAUUAUGCGGUAUUACCAACCGUUUCCAGUUGCUAUUCCCCUCUUAAAGGCAGAUUGCUCACGUGUUACUCACCCGUCCGCCACUGAUCCGCAGAGCAAGCUCUACUUCACCGUUCGACUUGCAUGUGUUAAGCGUGCCGCCAGCGUUCGUCCUGAGCCACUGAUCAAACUCU